Molecule: ribosomal RNA, 740 nt
Filed under: Ochromonas sp. CCMP1393
Lineage: Eukaryota; Chrysophyceae; Chromulinales; Chromulinaceae
Description: partial Bacterial large subunit ribosomal RNA
Rfam family: Bacterial large subunit ribosomal RNA
Source: RNAcentral
UACCGUGAGGGAAAGGUGAAAAGCACCCCGACAAGGGGAGUGAAAUAGUACCUGAAACUGGAUGCCUACAAACAGUGGGAGGCCGCAAGGCUGACCGCGUACCUUUUGUAUAAUGGGUCAUCGACUUGGUCUAUCUAGCAAGCUUAAGCCGUUAGGUGUAGGCGCAGCGAAAGCGAGUCUUAAUAGGGCGUCGAGUUAGAUGGAUCAGACCCGAAACCGAGUGAUCUAGGCAUGACCAGGCUGAAGGUAAGGUAACACUUACUGGAGGGCCGAACCCACAUCUGUUGAAAAAGAUCGGGAUGAGUUGUGCCUAGGGGUGAAAGGCCAAUCAAACUCGGAAAUAGCUGGUUCUCUGCGAAAUCUAUUUAGGUAGAGCGUCAUCCGAAUACCCUCGGGGGUAGAGCACUGGAUGGGUAAUGGGGCCCCACAGGCUUACUGAUCCUAACCAAACUCCGAAUACCGAGGAGUACUAGAUGGCAGACACACUGCGGGUGCUAACGCCCGUAGUGGAGAGGGAAACAACCCUGACCUCCGGCUAAGGCCCCCAAUUCAUGGCUAAGUGGGAAAGCAGGUGAGACGACCAAAACAACCAGGAGGUUGGCUUAGAAGCAGCCAUCCUUUAAAGAUAGCGUAACAGCUCACUGGUCUAAAUAAGUUGUCUUGCGGCGAAGAUGUAACGGGGCUCAAGCCAUGAGCCGAAGCCGAGGAGUGCGUAUGCACUGGUAGCAGAGCGUAGUGUG